CUUUACCGACAGUUUCUAGAAAAAUCCCUAGACGCGAGUUCUCAAAUUACGUCGUCAUUUCUAAACAGAAUGCAAAAAAAUUAGAGGGACAUGUCCGGGAGGCCCUAAAGAAUUGUAGUCUAGUCCUUAUAUUACCCAAAUCGUCAAAAAAUUAUAAAAUAUUGAAAUUUAUGUGUGUCAACCGUCAAGAAAAUGACGGAUCGGACUCACCAGCAUCAAUUUAUUCGUAAUAUAAAUAUUUCUGUAAAUCGUGUGUCCAAAUGGGUACCAAACUACCAUUCUUUGGGUCAGAUAGAACAAAACGAGCAUUCAAGGGAUGAUGUACAAGCCUCCAGGAGACACUUUCGUAUUCGAGGAAGAAUAAAACUGUUUCAACUAGUACGCCGCCCCCAAGGGUGAACGGAAUUGUAACCUUUGGUGGGAAAUAAAAUAAGAAUUAAGAAUUUCUCAA
Molecule: non-coding RNA, 451 nt
Organism: Osmia lignaria (orchard mason bee)
Lineage: Eukaryota; Metazoa; Arthropoda; Insecta; Hymenoptera; Megachilidae
Source: RefSeq, a predicted model, not a curated record